This 498-nucleotide ribosomal RNA is filed under the name uncultured bacterium. Its description in RNAcentral is "partial 16S ribosomal RNA". It matches the Rfam family "Bacterial small subunit ribosomal RNA", at positions 30 to 523 of the family's 1533-position model. The record is from RNAcentral.
AUUGAACGCUGGCGGCAUGCCUUACACAUGCAAGUCGAACGGUAACAGGUCUUCGGAUGCUGACGAGUGGCGAACGGGUGAGUAAUACAUCGGAACGUGCCUAGUAGUGGGGGAUAACUACUCGAAAGAGUGGCUAAUACCGCAUGAGAUCUACGGAUGAAAGCAGGGGAUCGCAAGACCUUGUGCUACUAGAGCGGCCGAUGGCAGAUUAGGUAGUUGGUGGGAUAAAAGCUUACCAAGCCGACGAUCUGUAGCUGGUCUGAGAGGACGAUCAGCCACACUGGGACGGAGACACGGCCCAGACUCCUACGGGGGGCAGCAGUGGGGAAUUGUGGACGAUGGGCGAAAGCCUUAUCCAGCAAUGCCGCGUGCAGGAUGAAGGCCUUCGGGUUGUAAACUGCUUUUGUACGGAACGAAAAGCCCCGGGUUAAUACCCUGGGGUCAUGACGGUACCGUAAGAAUAAGCACCGGCUAACUACGUGCCAGCAGCCGCCGCAG